Molecule: long non-coding RNA, 1481 nt
Filed under: Sarcophilus harrisii (Tasmanian devil)
Lineage: Eukaryota; Metazoa; Chordata; Mammalia; Dasyuromorphia; Dasyuridae
Description: lncRNA (ENSSHAG00000025517.1)
Source: RNAcentral
AUGACAUAUACAUCAGAUCUUUGUUCUGCAUCGUAUUAUUGCUCAACACAUCCACAAGUGAAGGGGAUUGGAGACAUGAAUAUGCAAAGAUGCGUUUUAAGAGGAUCACUUAGCCUCUGUUUCAACUUUUACCCUCAGUUCCCAAAACAGGCAGAUGGAAUUUGUGGUCUUUCUUCUUCACUGACUUUAUUUCAUAAAGUGAUGACAUUCAACCCUCCCUCUCUCAGAUAUUCAACUGCUAUCGGAUCCUCCUAAUGCUGGCACUCUGUUUUGCAUUUUGAAACAUUUCUGUCUACUUUAACAUUCAACAACCCUUUAGUCUAAGGUUCCUUCUACCCUUGCCAUUGUUUUAAGGUGCCUUCCAGCCUUGACAUUUUAUAUUGAGAGCCCAGUCUUUAAGGAUAAGAUAAAUGUCAUCUGACUUGGGCCAAAAAGAUGGAAUUUGUGGUCUUUCUUCUUCUCUGACUAUUUCAUAAAGUGAUGGGACCGUAUUUCAUAAAGUGAGGGAUUUCAUAAACAGCUGAAAGAAACCUAAAAGAUCACUGAGUCUGAUUCUCUCCUUUUCUAGAUGAGGGAACCUGAAGCUCAGAGAAAUGAAAUAAUGUGUGCAACAUCACAAAGGUGUGACUCCCAUCCACAAAUGGCUAUCAAAUCUUUCCCAUUCCCACUAAGACUUCUCCAGACUAUCCAGCUCUGAUUCCUUCUACCACAGGCUUUCCCCAUUGCUUUUCUUCAGAUAUAAUUAAUUCUUAAUUUCCCUUUAAAACAAAACUGAAUACACAACUCAGGACACAGAACAGCAAGACUGACCCUCAAAAAUACCCAUCUAUUAGACAGAGAGUCUGGAUUAGUUCAUCCCUAAGAUCCCUUCAGGAUGCUUCAUCCUGUGAACCUAAAGCAGUAAAGCAGAUUGAUACAGCAGAUUGAUCUUCACUGCCUAGAAGUGCCCAAGAGGUGCCAGGAAAACCACAGGUCCCAGCAAACUUAAUUACCAGGUCUAAUGGACUAUUCUUCAUCUUCAACCUUGACGACCGCUCUGUGGCAUCUGAGAGCACUGACCGCAUUCUCUAGGCUAGUCUCUUUUCUCUGGGUUUUAGUGAUGCUGUUUUCUCCCGGCUUUCCUCAGAUAUAUCUUUCUUGGUCUCACUUACUGGUUCUUCAUUCAUGUCACACACACACAUGUUAACUAUGUGGGUGCCUGCCCUCAGGUUCUAUCCUGGGUCCUCUUAUCUUAUCUCGCUUAGUAAACUCAUCAAUUUCCGUGGACUCAGUUAUCAUCUAUAGAGAUGAUUACAAGAUCUAUAUCUCCAGCUCUAGAGUUUCCUGAACCUUCAUCUUAAAUUACCAGCAGCCUUUAGGACACUUCAGACCAGCUCAUUGGCUUUCCUUUGUACACCCUCCCCUCUUCCAAAUUGUCUUUCCUGUUACUGUUGAGGGCACCAUCAACUUCCUAAUCACCGAUUACAACUUCCUUGCCCCUC